UCUAGAGCCGUCGGGUAGGGAGUGGCCAUGAUCUUGGGGUCACCGGGGAGAGAGGUGGCCCUUUGUGGCUUCCAGAGGUCGGUACUGAAGGCGAACGUGCUUCAGUUGGGUGGCCGGGAGUUGCACCAGUUAUAAGCCGGGCGUGUUUCGAUCCGCUGGUAGUUGUUUACUUGGUGAGGUUUGCGCCCGGCGGAGGGCGGUUGCCGUAUACCUAAAAUCGGAGUCAGCAGCACUUUCCCUUUCCAGUGAGGAAUAUCAAUUCUUCUACGGUUAAGCCGGGAAAACAGCGGCUAGUUUGGGAGGGAAGAAACCCCUUGGGCAAAUGCCCAAAGCCUGCAUAUAUUCCGGCCGGAGCAUCCUGGCGCCCAGUUUGGGGAGGAGGGGUGAACGGGAAGAUCUGGAUACGAAGCCCGGCAGGGAGAGGGUAACUCCCGGAGCCACUCCGCCGAGCACUGCCUGCGACCCUGAUCGAGGAUACCAUUCUGGUUGCUCAGUGAUUGACCAGGAGGUGGAAGCCAGUUAGGGGGACCAAGGAGUGGAGUAGGGAGAGCCUCCAUCGGCCCACGGAUGCGAGGUAGUGUUCGAAUCUUUGGGAGCUCGAAAAGCUUCGCCAAAUCUGACUUCCUUCAUCUAGUCUCUGUUUGGCAGCCCCGCGCCCCAGAGCAGGUGUUUGGGGCGGGAAGGGGGGUUGUUUUGGUUUGGUUUUUGGAUCUUCUAAAGGAGUCAGGAUCUGUUGGGAAGCAACCCCUAGGCAAGGAGAAGAACUGGGAGCCCGGAGCGGAGCGUGUUUCAGAGAAUCCUUGUGGGGGGGGGGAGGGGAAGAGCACCGGUGCGAACCCCGGGGUGCCCCCUCGCCCGACUUCGACUUCUUUGACUUAAGAGGUGGGAGGAGUUCCCUGCAGCCUGCGGGGCCGAGAAGUAAGUGCUAAACUCAGGAGCCGCAGUCGGAGGACCCUAGGGACCCGACAGGAAGUCUCCGUUCGACCCCCACGGAUCCACAUGCCCGGAAACCUAGGCGACCCUAAGCCAGCGCUGGGGAACUGUCGUACUCCUGCAGUCGCAGGGCGCUCCAUGCCUCUCUCUCCUUUUCUUUCUUGGGGAUAACGUUCUCUGCGGGAGACCUGAGGUUACCCAAGGGGAACUCGCCUUCUACACUGGCCUUGGCGCCCUGAGAUAAGCACCAGGACUCACAGCCUAGCUCGAAGGCAGGUAGCACCUUCACCCGCCGCGGAAGAUAGGUGCUCUCCUGCACCUCCUUUAGCUCUCGAGGCCCGCCCUACGCGAGGUCCCAGGGAAAAGCAGGCUGUGGAAAACUGGGCGCUCCCUUAUUUCACCCACCUUCUUACCCCUGUCAGCUCCGAGAUCUGUGGCAGAGGUUCCUGGUCUGAACCACCGAUUGGUAAAGAAAGCUGCAGAUUAAACUCCUCGUUUUACAGAGAAGGAAACUGAGGCCCAGACAGACGAAAGAGAGGCAAGCUAUGGAGCGCAGCGGUAAAAAGCAAGGGAUUGGUGGCCCCAGAAUGGAACCUCAGUUCUGCCAGGUAACCAACAGCUGUGUGACCCUAGACGAGUUCCGCAGUCUCUCUGAGCCUCAGUUUCCUUACUGGUCAAACGGGAUAAUGGGAUACUAGCGCCCACCUCAUAGAGUUGUUCUGAGGAUUAGAUAGGAGAAUAGUGUUGACCUUGGACUCAAUUAACUUUACAGUUUUUGUUACUACUACUGUUUAAGGACAGGAAACAAGUUAGUGGCAAAGCCGAGCUGAAACCCAGGUCUCUCAACAUCCGGUUGGAGGUUUUAUCCACCACCCUUCUGCCUCUUUAGAGCUAGUAGGAUGCAGAGGCAAGGAGAGCCCCUGGAAAACCAUGUGGCGUUGAUACACCGGCAAAGCGCAGGCAUCCCCGCCUCGAAGGUGCAUAAUUAUUGCCAUAUGAAAAAAUCGAGGCUGGAUGGGAGCAGGGCAGUGAGGAUCUCUCAAUCCCUACUUUUACCCCGGAGCUGUUCACUACAUCUGACCCAGCGCGGAGCUGGGCUGCUAUACAGCCGCAACCCCAGGGACCAAUGCGCACGCCCGGGCCGCCCUCCGGGAGACACCCUGCGGCCAUGGACAACUGAAUAAACACCCCGAAGCACUGCGAUCGGUCAAGGGCGGUGACAGCCACCCUGCGCGCGGGGCCCGCCGGCUGUAAUAAAGAGUGGCUCGACCUCGCUGCCGCCUGUCGCGGGAGAGGAACAGGCGUUCGACUAGCACCUCUCUCCAGGACCCGCGCCCGGAGCCCCAUGCGCAAGACAGCCCUACAGCUAGCUGCUGCUCCCCUCCCCGCCGACUCCAACUCCUCGGAAUCUGCCCACUCGGGGCUGCGGGGCAAGUGUUUAGGAUGGUUCCCAGCCCCGCACUGGCGGUAAAAAUUUCAACGUCAUUUCUUUAAUUAAAAAAAAAAAAAAAAAAAAAAAGGCAAGGGAGGAGCUUUUCUGAUAACUACUCCCAGCUUCUUCUGAUCAUUUCAAAAUGAACUCAAUUUUUUUUUAACCAGUCCCUACUUACGGUUCUAAGUCUCCUCUCUGACCCUGUCUAGGGGCCAGGAACCAUUAGGUACUGCCGAGUGCGGUGCAAAAUUUCCCCCUUUCCCCCAGUUCGCAGUGCCUGGAGCCACGGGGUUACCCGUCUGUUCUGAUGCCACCGCGAGAUGGUCCCCGAGCUCCCCGAGAGUCCUCACUGAAAGGAUUCCGCGGCGCUGCCUCUAUUAUUAUACCGUAAAUCUUUUUAAAUUCUGGAACUAAUUAUAUAGAGGAUAUGUCUCAAUUUGUUCUGCAUUAAUGCCACAGUGGGGAUGGAGGCCAGGCCGUGGCCAGAGCAGAUAUGUAGGCCCAUGAAAUUGAUGAACUGAGAGUUGCUUCCAGUCCUGAGCGCACCAUCUGGAAUUCCAGUCUGAGGUUACAAUUAGAACUCCUGACCCCAGAUUCAACUUUGCAAACAACAGGAAAAAAAAUGGGGAAAAGAAAAACCAUGAGAGAGGGAAAAAAAAAUUAUUCUGCACCUGUAAAAAAAAAAAAA
This is a non-coding RNA of Chlorocebus sabaeus (green monkey), 3053 nucleotides long. The record is from RefSeq and is a predicted model, not a curated record. Lineage: Eukaryota; Metazoa; Chordata; Mammalia; Primates; Cercopithecidae.